RNAcentral lists this ribosomal RNA (384 nucleotides) under uncultured prokaryote. Its description in RNAcentral is "bacterial SSU rRNA". It matches the Rfam family "Archaeal small subunit ribosomal RNA", at positions 341 to 725 of the family's 1478-position model. The record is from RNAcentral.
GCGAAAACUUUACAAUGCUGGCAACAGCGAUAAGGGAACCUCGAGUGCCAGGUUACAAAUCUGGCUGUCGAGAUGCCUAAAAAGCAUUUCAUAGCAAGGGCCGGGCAAGACCGGUGCCAGCCGCCGCGGUAACACCGGCGGCUCGAGUGGUAACCGUUAUUAUUGGGUCUAAAGGGUCUGUAGCCGGCCGGAUAAGUCUCUUGGGAAAUCCAGCAGCUUAACUGUUGGGCUUUCAGGAGAUACUGUCUGGCUCGAGGCCGGGAGAGGUGAGAGGUACUUCAGGGGUAGGGGUGAAAUCUUGUAAUCCUUGAAGGACCACCAGUGGCGAAGGCGUCUCACCAGAACGGACCUGACGGCAAGGGACGAAAGCUAGGGGCACGAACC